Molecule: ribosomal RNA, 301 nt
Filed under: uncultured bacterium
Lineage: Bacteria
Description: partial 16S ribosomal RNA
Rfam family: Bacterial small subunit ribosomal RNA
Source: RNAcentral
CAGCAGCCGCGGGAAUACGUAUGUCACAAGCGUUAUCCGGAUUUAUUGGGCGUAAAGCGCGUCUAGGUGGUUAUGUAAGUCUGAUGUGAAAAUGCAGGGCUCAACUCUGUAUUGCGUUGGAAACUGUGUAACUAGAGUACUGGAGAGGUAAGCGGAACUACAAGUGUAGAGGUGAAAUUCGUAGAUAUUUGUAGGAAUGCCGAUGGGGAAGCCAGCUUACUGGACAGAUACUGACGCUAAAGCGCGAAAGCGUGGGUAGCAAACAGGAUUAGAUACCCGCGUAGUCCCUGUCUCUUAUACA